Molecule: ribosomal RNA, 409 nt
Filed under: uncultured bacterium
Lineage: Bacteria
Also listed under: 1 other name
Description: bacterial SSU rRNA
Rfam family: Bacterial small subunit ribosomal RNA
Source: RNAcentral
UGGGGAAUAUUGGGCAAUGGAGGAAACUCUGACCCAGCGACGCCGCGUGCGGGAUGAAGGCCUUCGGGUUGUAAACCGCUUUCAGCAGGGAAGAAGCGAAAGUGACGGUACCUGCAGAAGAAGCACCGGCUAACUAUGUGCCAGCAGCCGCGGUAAUACAUAGGGUGCAAGCGUUGUCCGGAAUUAUUGGGCGUAAAGAGCUCGUAGGUGGUUCGUCACGUCGGAUGUGAAACUCUGGGGCUUAACCCCAGACCUGCAUUCGAUACGGGCGAGCUUGAGUAUGGUAGGGGAGUCUGGAAUUCCUGGUGUAGCGGUGGAAUGCGCAGAUAUCAGGAGGAACACCAAUGGCGAAGGCAGGACUCUGGGCCAUUACUGACACUGAGGAGCGAAAGCGUGGGGAGCGAACAGG